GAUGAACGCUGGCGGCGUGCCUAAUACAUGCAAGUCGAGCGAACAGACGAGGAGCUUGCUCCUCUGACGUUAGCGGCGGACGGGUGAGUAACACGUGGAUAACCUACCUAUAAGACUGGGAUAACUUCGGGAAACCGGAGCUAAUACCGGAUAAUAUAUUGAACCGCAUGGUUCAAUAGUGAAAGACGGUUUUGCUGUCACUUAUAGAUGGAUCCGCGCCGCAUUAGCUAGUUGGUAAGGUAACGGCUUACCAAGGCGACGAUGCGUAUCCGACCUGAGAGGGGGGUCGGCCACACUGGAGCUGAGCCACGGUCCAGACUCCUACGGGAGGCAGCAGUAGGGAAUCUUCCGCAAUGGGCGAAAGCCUUACGGAGCAACGCCGCGUGAGUGAUGAAGGUCUUCGGAUCGUAAAACUCUGUUAUUAGUGAAGAACAAAUGUGUAAGUAACUAUGCACGUCUUGACGGUACCUAAUCAGAAAGCCACGGCUAACUACGUG
RNAcentral lists this ribosomal RNA (497 nucleotides) under uncultured bacterium. Its description in RNAcentral is "partial 16S ribosomal RNA". It matches the Rfam family "Bacterial small subunit ribosomal RNA", at positions 28 to 507 of the family's 1533-position model. The record is from RNAcentral.